UCCUUCCUCCUGACGUCAGGAUGCUGGGAGUGGGAGCGCAAGGGAGGCAGGUGGGAGGGAUUACGAUGGAAACUUCUGCAGACUUUAAAGAGACAUCGCCGGGAGGGAAGACCCAACUCAAGUCGUCCAGCUACAAAAGAGAGCAGAGAUCCUGCCCCUUUAACGAUGGGGGAAAGCAGAAGGUUGUCAUGCAGGGAGAAAAGUUUACCCUGCUAAAAUUCCCACUCUUAUAGAACACACAGAGAGCCCCAUUGUCCUAUAUCACCUUGCAAGCCCUGGGCAAGAUACAUGUGGUGAUCAAAACAGGGGGAGAGACUCUUUCCUGUCAUCCAGAGAGCAAAAUCUUUUGUGGCGGCAGUUGGUGGAAAGAGGCGCUGCUGCCUUACCUGGAAUGAUUGCCUGGCAUGCUACUUUAUAAACAACUAUAUAAUAAUAUAGGCUAAGAACUUUGUUCCAAGAGCAGCCUCAUCCCUCACACCAGUGACUAUAUGAUCAUCUUGCAAGGAUAAAGGCUGUGGCCCUCUGCUGAAUUCAGUCAGAAUAACAUUGAAGCAAACAUGUUUCAGGAUCAUACUGAGCAGUCCCUGACAUCAACAGCUAUAGCUCUGUAGACUCCAUGGGAAUAAUUUUCAACUGACAGCAUGUGAUCAUUCUGGGGAAACAGAUCUAACUAGAGUCCAAUGUAAAAUUGUACUAAUGAGCUUCAAUUAAAUUAAACACAUGCAUGUGAAAUAA
This is a long non-coding RNA of Sphaerodactylus townsendi, 735 nucleotides long. RefSeq lists it as uncharacterized. NCBI's taxonomy places the organism in Eukaryota, Metazoa, Chordata, Lepidosauria, Squamata, Sphaerodactylidae. The record is from RefSeq and is a predicted model, not a curated record. The transcript has 4 exons.